AUAGGGGAGCCGGAGGGAAACCGAGUCUUAACCGGGCGUUAAGUUGCAGGGUAUAGACCCGAAACCCGGUGAUCUAGCCAUGGGCAGGUUGAAGGUUGGGUAACACUAACUGGAGGACCGAACCGACUAAUGUUGAAAAAUUAGCGGAUGACCUGUGGCUGGGGGUGAAAGGCCAAUCAAACCGGGAGAUAGCUGGUUCUCCCCGAAAGCUAUUUAGGUAGCGCCUCGUGAACUCAUCUCCGGGGGUAGAGCACUGUUUCGGCUAGGGGGCCAUCCCGGCUUACCAACCCGAUGCAAACUGCGAAUACCGGAGAAUGUUAUCACGGGAGACACACGGCGGGUGCUAACGUCCGUCGUGAAGAGGGAAACAACCCAGACCGCCAGCUAAGGUCCCAAAGUCAUGGUUAAGUGGGAAACGAUGUGGGAAGGCCCAGACAGCCAGGAUGUUGGCUUAGAAGCAGCCAUCAUUUAAAGAAAGCGUAAUAGCUCACUGGUCGAGUCGGCCUGCGCGGAAGAUGUAACGGGGCUAAACCAUGCACCGAAGCUGCGGCAGCGACGCUUAUGCGUUGUUGGGUAGGGGAGCGUUCUGUAAGCCGUUGAAGGUGGCCUGUGAGGGUUGCUGGAGGUAUCAGAAGUGCGAAUGCUGACAUAAGUAACGAUAAAGCGGGUGAAAAGCCCGCUCGCCGGAAGACCAAGGGUUCCUGUCCAACGUUAAUCGGGGCAGGGUGAGUCGACCCCUAAGGCGAGGCCGAAAGGCGUAGUCGAUGGGAAACGGGUUAAUAUUCCCGUACUUGGUGUUACUGCGAAGGGGGGACGGAGAAGGCUAUGUUGGCCGGGCGACGGUUGUCCCGGUUUAAGCGUGUAGGUGUGUGUUCCAGGUAAAUCCGGUUCACUUUAACACUGAGGCGUGAUGACGAGGCACUACGGUGCUGAAGUAACAAAUGCCCUGCUUCCAGGAAAAGCCUCUAAGCAUCAGGUAACAUCAAAUCGUACCCCAAACCGACACAGGUGGUCAGGUAGAGAAUACCAAGGCGCUUGAGAGAACUCGGGUGAAGGAACUAGGCAAAAUGGUGCCGUAA
This 1079-nucleotide ribosomal RNA is filed under the name Salmonella enterica subsp. enterica. RNAcentral's name for it is "partial 23S ribosomal RNA". It matches the Rfam family "Bacterial large subunit ribosomal RNA", at positions 657 to 1733 of the family's 2925-position model. The record is from RNAcentral. Lineage: Bacteria; Pseudomonadati; Pseudomonadota; Gammaproteobacteria; Enterobacterales; Enterobacteriaceae.